UACGUAGGGGGCGAGCGUUGUUCGGAAUCAUUGGGCGUAAAGGGCGCGUAGGUGGUUCUGUAUGUCUACCGUGAAAGCGUACGGCUCAACCGUAUUUUGUCGGUGGAAACUGCAGGACUUGAGGCUGGGAGGGGCUGGUGGAAUUCCCUGUGUAGCGGUGAAAUGCGUAGAGAUGGGGGAGAACACUCGUGGCGAAGGCGGCCAGCUAGACCAGUUCUGACACUGAGGCGCGACAGCGUGGGGAGCAAACAGG
RNAcentral lists this ribosomal RNA (253 nucleotides) under uncultured bacterium. RNAcentral describes it as "partial 16S ribosomal RNA". It matches the Rfam family "Bacterial small subunit ribosomal RNA", at positions 524 to 776 of the family's 1533-position model. The record is from RNAcentral.